UCCGGAGAGCACGUGUUCGCGCAGGCGGGGCGAGGCAGCCCGCCGGCGGGAGGCGCGGGGUCGCCUCGCUGGCUGGCGUGAGGUGGGGCCACUCCGGGUGCCCCCGGAUGUCCCCGGGCUGCCCUGUCGCGCGGCGGACCCGCAGGGCUCUCCGUGCUCCCGGCCUUCCCCGCGGCUGCCUUUCGAGCGAAGCCUGUUCAGCUGAAGAACGGGAAAGGCCCGGGCGUUACGUAAGGGCCUCCCCGCGGGCGAGACCGGGACCUGAAGCGACCGCGGCGACUUCUGUGAUCGCCGGGUCCCCCAGCCCCCACCCCCCCCCGCGUCCCGCCACAGACCUGUCGAGGACGAAGUGCGGAAAUUUCCACUAAUUUCCUCAGUGGAGCGGCUCGUGUCGUUUUUGUGGUUGCUAAACGAAAAGCUGUUUUCCUGCUCUGCAGAGCUGCUUGAGUUGAUCAGUGAGUAGGAUCACUUAAAUGGAGUCACCGGCCUAAUAUCUGCUGAGGAACCAGUGCAUAGAUUCCUUCUUAGAGGUCUUUAUGCCCCCUUCAGAAACCAAGUCCUCUUCAAAGCCAGGACUGUAAACUUGAGCUUCUCACCAGUCCCGGUAGGUGGUCCUUAAAUCGGGCUGGGCUGAAGGUUCUUAAACGAGGAAAAGUGCUUUCCUCUGCUGAUGCCACACAUUUCUGCUUAGCAAGUUCUUAUGCGCAAAGCGCGUGAAAAAUUACUGGUAACGCAGGACAGAUCGAGUUCCGCACGAGACAGCUAAGGGAACACUAGUAAAAGGUCGUGCCGCGCGCGCUCCAGCAUCGCCCCGGAUUCGUUCAGACUAAAAAGUGACUGCAGGGCUACCGUGUUUUGUGCUAGAGUCAGUGAUCCUAAUAUUUGUGGUCGCUACAUCUUUUUUGUUUGUUUGCUAAAUGUUCUAUAGUUGGGCCGGGGAUUUAGCUCAGUGGUUCCGCCGCCUGCCUCACAAGCGCAAGAUCCCGAGUUCAAUCCCCGGUACCAAAAAAAAAAUUUUUUAAUUAAAUAUUGCAUAGUAAUGGAUCCGCACAAGGUCUUCGUGGGGUCUAAAGUACGGUAUGUCAAGUAAAAUAAAGCAACAAGAUAACGGAGGCCAAGCAUUUAGAGCAGUUUAUAUACUCGGAAGCUUGGCAAAUGGGAAGUUUCAAACGUCAAGUGUUGACUGUCUUCUGCUUUGACGCCUGUGUCAUAGUACUCAGGCCAGACGUGGGAGUACACUGAAGCUGAAGCAGGAGGGUCACAGUGAGUUCGAGACAAGCCUGGGCUACGUAGCAAGACUCUGUCUCCAAAAAGCCCCAAAAUAAUAAUGCUCAGAUCACACUAUGGGAUAAGUAGUUAUUCCCAUUGUGCAGAUGCAGAUUCUCUGGCUUACUUAGGUAGGUGCUGCAGCUGAGACUAAAACGCAGGUCACCUGACACACUGCCGGAUUCUUUCCUGAGUAGCCCAGCUACUGUAGUAAAAAUGUGAUAAAUGCAAGGAGUGCUACCAAGCCAAAGGAGGAGGGAACCCAACCAAUAGAUUGUGAGAGGUUCCUCAGGCUGAGCUUUCACCAUGAUUCUCAGCAAGCAGAGUACCUGAAGGUUUCCUUGUAGAUUUCCUGAGCAGACCACGCCCUGCCCUUAGGGAAGUAGAGCCAUGGAUGGAAAUAACCAGGGUUCAGGCAGACAUUCCUGGAAAAGUCAGGUUGGUGCUUCCCUGGGAAAGGCACACCUCUGUAGUCCCAGCUACUUGAGAGGCUGAGGCAGGAGGAUCACUUGGCAAGAGGCCACUGCUGCCAUCCUCACUUUGACCCCAAAGUGUUUAGGACCAGCCUGGAGUACACAGCAAGAACCAGUCUCCUAAUAAAAUAAAAGAUAUACAAGGUGUUAGCUCAGUGGUAGAGCACUUGCAUAGCAUGCCCUAGGCCUUGGAUUUGAACCUCAGCAGUAGGAAAAAAUUUAAAUUUCUGUAUAUGUAUCUAUAUUAAGUACAUAUCCAUAAAUACAUAUAUAAGCCAGACUUGGUGGCACGCACCUGUGUGCCCAGCACUCUAGGAAAUUGAGGCAUGAUUGCAAGUUUAACCCCCGCCUUGGUAACUUGGUGAAUCGUGGUAGCAAGAACUUCUCUUGAAACAAAAGGGGUGGGGAUAUAGCUCAGUGGAGAAGCCUUAACUGUACACACACAGUAUAUAUGGUUAAAAACAAAGCUGGGGGACUUUGUAAUUUGGAUGAAUUCUCCCUUUGAGGAUAACUAGAAAGGUUGGACAAAGCAUUUCUGCAUUUGCUCAAAGUCCCAAGAGAGUGAAGGAAAUGUUGCCGCCGUCCCCGCUGGAGCCCACAGACCUGCUGAGCUGGGGAGCAAAGUCCUGUGUUGUGCGACAGACCCUUUGUCCCCAGGGCUGGGCACCAGGCACAAAGAUACUCUGAGACGCCCAAGGUUGAGCAGUUCCUCUCACAGCCUCAGAGCUAAGAGAAAAAAAAAUCAAUGUCCAAGACUCCUCAGUGCAGCGAGGAGCCCCAGUGAACCCCUCUUUUGUGUAGAGCCCUGAAGGGCUAUAUCCCUGAAGCAGCCACCCCUUAAACAUAGCCUACUUUUCCCAAAAGCGGACCUGGAGACUAGCCUCUGGCUGUGAAUAGUCUGUCUAGAAAACGAUGCAGGGAGCUGGGCGUGGUGGUGCACACCUGUCAUCCCAUCACCAGAGGCCGAUGCAGGAGGAUCACAGUGAAUUCAAGGCCAGCCUGGACUACAGAGUGAGACCCUGACUCAAAACAACAGAAAGAAGAGAGAGAGAGAUGAAGAUAGCAGGAAGCACCACAUGGAAGUUAAGAAAGAAAUACAGGGAAUGGAGAAAACCCAAGAGCAGAUGUCUGUUUCUUGAUUGCAUCUCCUGUGACCUCCCCAUCGGUGUUCUCAGCUUUCUCUGUGUGAAGACGUGCUGUCCUCCUUCCUGGGUCUCCUGGUCCCUUCAGCAUGGCUGUGAGGUGCGACCCGACACAAAGAGGAAACAGCAUCGCCACUGCUUGUCAGGAUUGGCAAUAAACACUAGCUGUAACAUGGUGCACUUUUCUCCAGGAGCUGCUUGCAGUGAAUGACCUCAUAGUGAUCUGUAAAAUUGUAUAUUUUUGUCUAAUGAAGUAGUCAUUAAAAAUUCAAAGCCUCAAAUUCACAGCAA
This is a long non-coding RNA of Heterocephalus glaber (naked mole-rat), 3172 nucleotides long. RefSeq lists it as uncharacterized. Lineage: Eukaryota; Metazoa; Chordata; Mammalia; Rodentia; Bathyergidae. The record is from RefSeq and is a predicted model, not a curated record.